AUGCCGAUGUCUACUGCCAUCAAAAUGCUUCCAAGCACAUUUCUUCUUGUCAUGCUUUGUGUUGCAUCUUCCGCUGAAGAAUUGAAGGCUGGCGGUGACAUGGACGCGAAGAUGAAAGAAAUGCAGGAACAAUCGAAGAAAUCAAUGGAGGAGAUGAGUAAGGGGUUCGGGGUGAAAAUCGAGUUGAAUGAGAAGACCACUCCCACAAUGGUGGAACAACACGUCAAAGAUUUUCGAGACAACAUUAAAAGUGUAUUCAAGCUCACUAAUGUGCAAAACUUGACUAUCGAUGAAUCGCUCAGAGCGAAAUCAGAUAAGAUGUCAUGCGAGGACCGCGGAAACUUUUACUUAACCAACUCAAAAAAACAUGCUUCUGAGUUGCAAAAAUUCUUGCUUUGUUUGGUAUGGACUUUGACAAAAUGGACGAAAAAGAGAGAGCUUAUAUGUUUAAUUGUUUUCACUGGAUCAACCCGGUUCAAACUCAACUUGGGUGCUCUAUUAAGAAGUGUGCCGCUGAGUAUAUAGUUAUUUGCCUCCUUGGCCCAAAUGAAGAAAUCAAGGCUUCUGACUAUAAAUCAUCCGAUGAUUUCAAAGCGGGUAAAGCUGAAGCUGCCGAAAUCGAAGCUAAAUCGGAAGCAAAUACUUCGUUCUCCACCAUUGCUCUCUUGAUGCCCAUUCUUUCUUUCUUCUUCUUGUAA
This 698-nucleotide unclassified non-coding RNA is filed under the name Caenorhabditis elegans. Its description in RNAcentral is "Non-coding transcript of protein-coding gene R07C3.13b". The record is from RNAcentral. Lineage: Eukaryota; Metazoa; Nematoda; Chromadorea; Rhabditida; Rhabditidae.